RNAcentral lists this ribosomal RNA (156 nucleotides) under Gliophorus irrigatus. RNAcentral describes it as "5.8S ribosomal RNA". It matches the Rfam family "5.8S ribosomal RNA". Rfam says of the family: 5.8S ribosomal RNA (5.8S rRNA) is a component of the large subunit of the eukaryotic ribosome. It is transcribed by RNA polymerase I as part of the 45S precursor that also contains 18S and 28S rRNA. The record is from RNAcentral. Lineage: Eukaryota; Fungi; Basidiomycota; Agaricomycetes; Agaricales; Hygrophoraceae.
CAACUUUCAACAACGGAUCUCUUGGCUCACGCAUCGAUGAAGAACGCAGCGAAAUGCGAUAAGUAAUGUGAAUUGCAGAAUUCAGUGAAUCAUCGAAUCUUUGAACGCACCUUGCGCUCCUUGGUAUUCCGAGGAGCAUGCCUGUUUGAGUGUCAU